GUGGGCUUUGAGGUUUCAGAAGCUCCAGCCAGGCCCAGCAGCUCACUUGCUCCUCCUGCUGCCUGCUGAUCCAGAUGUGGAGCUCUCAGCCACUUCUCCAGCACUGUCUGCCUGCACGCUGACCAACUCCCUGCCAUGAUGACAACGGACUCACCUCUGAACUGAAUACAGGUGAGAGUACAGGAGUGGAGAUGACUCAAGGACAUUUACAUCACCAAAGGCCACUUCAUGAAUGACAGCUCAUGAAAGCUGGAACACAAUUCACAACUUGAAGGCAGCUCAACAGGGCCAGAUGAGGGAGCACCACCUGUAAUCAGCCCUGGAAUAAGAUGGAAACUGGAGGCAGGAGAAUCUGCCUGAAAACUAUGGGCCAGCCUCCUGCAGUAUUCUAUACAGCAGUGGAAACAGGAAGAGAGACUCAAAAGAGCAGGGAAGAUGGCAACCGGCUUCUGAAAGCUCUCUGACCUUCAUGUGCUUACACACAAGAUCUUGGCCUGCCUCCUGUCACUCCUCCCAGCUUGCUCAGAGUGUCUUCUCUUGAUCUCUGAGCACAUAGCUCUUGGAGAAAGAUCCACACAGCAUGGGAAAUCUGAGCCAGUCUCCAUCUUCAAGGUCAGCCUGAAAGGCAAGCCGAGUUGGAGGAUGAAGGAGAUGCUCGCUUGCUCCAUCCUCACCACCUCCUCCUUAGCAGCCCAGUGUGGAGCCAGAGCUCCUGCCCAUCUUACAGCUUGUUGAGAAGAACAUGCUGCCUGAAGGACA
Molecule: long non-coding RNA, 759 nt
Filed under: Cricetulus griseus (Chinese hamster)
Lineage: Eukaryota; Metazoa; Chordata; Mammalia; Rodentia; Cricetidae
Description: lncRNA (ENSCGRG00015029423.1)
Source: RNAcentral